GCCAAGGAUAUAUAAUAAAGAUACACGAACAUGGGCUAACAUGGACCAGGGGCUACUUUCAUCACAUUGCAAGAAAUCCCAUUCGCAGGUGAGCCAUGCAAUCCUUCUGGAUUACACAUAAGGUCCUCCUUUGGUUGCAACUAUUUUAGUACCUGUCAUCAUCUGUGUGGCAUUCUCUGCUUUUGUUUCCAUUUUUUGUUGUAGAAAAAACAGUGGUUAGAUAGUCCAAACAGGAAGCAAGCAUGAAGCAUUACACCAGCAAAAAUAUCCGCUUGUGGUUCCUGCACAAAGCAGAUGACAUCCUGGAGUAGAAAGCUACCCACUUCCUUUCUGUAGAUCGUUUUCACUGACACCAUAAGUUAUCCAAUCUUUUAAGAAAUAAGGAAAAGUCAUCUCCAAGAUAUAUAUUUCAACAAGUCUAUGUUGUAAUAUCAUUUAAAACUGAGGCACUACAAUUUAUCAAAUUUAUCUCUUUUCAAGACCUGC
RNAcentral lists this long non-coding RNA (486 nucleotides) under Sorghum bicolor (sorghum). RNAcentral describes it as "long non-coding RNA (SBIC_LNC003918)". Lineage: Eukaryota; Viridiplantae; Streptophyta; Magnoliopsida; Poales; Poaceae. The record is from RNAcentral.